AAUUAUUUAAAAAAGAAGGUUUUUUUUAAAGUUUUUUCCCCGUCAGAUGAACGCUGGCGGCAGGCCUAACACAUGCAAGUCGAGCGGAAACGAGUUAUCUGAACCUUCGGGGAACGAUAACGGCGUCGAGCGGCGGACGGGUGAGUAAUGCCUAGGAAAUUGCCCUGAUGUGGGGGAUAACCAUUGGAAACGAUGGCUAAUACCGCAUAAUACCUACGGGUCAAAGAGGGGGACCUUCGGGCCUCUCGCGUCAGGAUAUGCCUAGGUGGGAUUAGCUAGUUGGUGAGGUAAUGGCUCACCAAGGCGACGAUCCCUAGCUGGUCUGAGAGGAUGAUCAGCCACACUGGAACUGAGACACGGUCCAGACUCCUACGGGAGGCAGCAGUGGGGAAUAUUGCACAAUGGGCGCAAGCCUGAUGCAGCCAUGCCGCGUGUGUGAAGAAGGCCUUCGGGUUGUAAAGCACUUUCAGUCGUGAGGAAGGUAGUGUAGUUAAUAGCUGCAUUAUUUGACGUUAGCGACAGAAGAAGCACCGGCUAACUCCGUGCCAGCAGCCGCGGUAAUACGGAGGGUGCGAGCGUUAAUCGGAAUUACUGGGCGUAAAGCGCAUGCAGGUGGUUUGUUAAGUCAGAUGUGAAAGCCCGGGGCUCAACCUCGGAAUAGCAUUUGAAACUGGCAGACUAGAGUACUGUAGAGGGGGGUAGAAUUUCAGGUGUAGCGGUGAAAUGCGUAGAGAUCUGAAGGAAUACCGGUGGCGAAGGCGGCCCCCUGGACAGAUACUGACACUCAGAUCGAAAAGAGCGC
This 802-nucleotide ribosomal RNA is filed under the name Vibrio harveyi. RNAcentral describes it as "bacterial SSU rRNA". It matches the Rfam family "Bacterial small subunit ribosomal RNA", at positions 1 to 764 of the family's 1533-position model. Lineage: Bacteria; Pseudomonadati; Pseudomonadota; Gammaproteobacteria; Vibrionales; Vibrionaceae. The record is from RNAcentral.